This is a long non-coding RNA of Vespula vulgaris, 6729 nucleotides long. RefSeq lists it as uncharacterized. NCBI's taxonomy places the organism in Eukaryota, Metazoa, Arthropoda, Insecta, Hymenoptera, Vespidae. The transcript is spliced from 3 exons. The record is from RefSeq and is a predicted model, not a curated record.
UACAAAACGUUAUAAUACCGUAGUUCUAUCAUAAACAUGACCGUGACCAUUACGUAUCUCUUUUCGGUUAUUACACAUGCUUAGAGACUAGCGAACGUUAGUAAUUCAAUUCUCUCCUUGUCGGGUAUAUUCUACAGCCAAUAUUCACGUUCACGAUAAAUCCUCGUUAAUUGAAAUUUAUUUUGACGAAACGAUAAAAUCCGAAGAUCCUUAAAUAUCAAUAUCGUCGUUUGUGAAGUGCGAAGAUCCAAUUUAUCUCACAAAAUAUAACUGAAAAUCACACGAAUAUAAAAAAUUUCUCAAUCUGACGAUAUUUAUGGAAAUUCAUGAACUACAGUGAACGUUAAUUUGGUCAGACUAAUCGUACAUUUAUAUUACGUUAUCAUUAAGUAAUAUAAAUGAUGUUUGACUAAGUCCUUAGAGAAAAAAAUCUACAAAAAAAAUUGUACCAAGUUCUUCAUGAAUAGAACAUAAAAUACCAACAAUGAUAUAUAACUCAAAGGUUAAAAGGGAUACCAAGGAGAAGAAAAAGGAAGAACGACGUCGGUAGGUCCGGUUGAUUUAUUCAAGUGGAGCAACGAAAGGAAAUGAAAAGUAAUCCUGAAUUCGUUGCGAAAUGACGAUGUAAAUGAAUGCGUAAGUUCUCGAAUUAAUAUUUCAAUGACUCGAAAUGAGAAAACACUCGCGUAAUAAUACAAAUAUUAAGGGCAAAUAGAAAGAAAGAUAAAAGAAAAAAAGACAAAGGAACAUGUUUCAUCGAAUAUUCGUAUGAAUUAAUUGUUCUUAUGUCCAAGUAGCAAAUUGAAAAGGACUAAUUUAUACGUGUAAUAAGAAAAACAAACGUAAAUAAUCGUUAGAAUCUAUAUUUAAUAUAUAUAUAUGUGUAUAUGUAUUAAAAAAAAAAACAACAAAGAUUAUCUUUCUUAUCAAGAGGUCGAUCAAAUUUGCCAAUAACAAGAAAUAUAUAUAUAUAUAUAUAUAUAUAUAUAUCCGAUAAAUAGAAAAACAUAAUAGACAAAUUCGUUGAAGGACAAAUGAAAUUAAAUAUUUCCAACUAUAAAAUUUUUCCGUUUUAAUUAUAAGAAUGAUCGUUAUUAUCUGAUGUCCUCGUACGAAGGAUUCUUAAUACUUACAUACAUAUCUACAUUUCUCAAGGGGAAUUAAACAACAAAGAGCUUUAGUAAACAGCGUCGCAAACUUGUCUCAUUCUAAAUAGAUAAUAGAAGACGCACGAUCAAAAACAAAGUCAAAUUUCGUUUCGCAAAUAACAUACUCGUGCUUUGUUAUUCUAUCCGUUCCUUUAGAUUUCCAUACAUAAGUAAUUUGAAACCGGAACGAGAGAUUAAGCAUAAAUUUAGUAGAAUUUUUUAUUCUUUUAAACGAAAUUCAUCGGGUUGCAUUGAUUGUGCAUUUUUCGGGUCAAGGAUCGAAGAAAAAGAUAGAAAAAAAAAAAAGGAAAAAGAGUAGAAAGUACAUACACCAAUUCUUCGUGAUAUAGACGCUACUUUUCUUAGAAAGAAAAAUCUUUACGAUGUAGAAAUCCUUGAUCGAAGGAUCUACUGUUAAGAUCUUUCUCUCUCUCUUGUUCUCCUUCUCUUCCUUCUUCUUCCUUAGCACGAAUAUAGGUAAACAGAACAACCGAAGGUCACAUUUUCCUUUAGAAGAAUAACAAUAGUUCUGGUUUUUGUACAUGAAAUACACAGACCUGUACACAAGAGUACACUAAUCUCUCCUCUCUAUUCUUCUCCGUCUCUCGUCUCCUAUUCUCUUUACUUUAUAUUCAUAAGAUGGCAAAAUUGAGUAAACUAAUUUCUAAAGUCUCUUAGUAAACUUUCUAUUCUAAAAUUUCUUUCUAUUUUAAAAAAUUUUUUUUUAAUAACUAUAAUAAACUAUAAACUAUGGGUUCUAUUUUCUAACGUAUUUAGACCCUCCAUUUGUUAGUGUAACAAUAUUUAAAGAUUUACAGGGUUUUUCACGCUCAAUUUUUAACAUCUCAUCCUGACUUCAAGAUACUCUUAACAACUUUUCGUAAAUUGUUUCCAUUCUGAGUAAGAAAAAAUCCUUUAAAAACGAACGGUAUCCUUUGAUUUAUUAAAAUAUUUAACAAUACAUAACAAUUACCAUAUAUUUAUUAUACUUAUCUUUUUGCUUCUAUUUUCAUUUCUAUUUUUCGUUGUCCUUUUCAUUUUUCUUUUUUUUUUUUACUUUAACUUUUUUAUUACUUCAACGUUUAGUUUCGUUUUCUAGCCAUCCUUAAGACCAAUUUCGUUCAACGAAUUUCUUUCAAGACAUUUGCUAUGUAAAAAAGAACACUUUUAUUAUUAAAAUAUAUAUUAAAGAAUUUCAUCGUAAAAUAAUAAUUUAAUAUAUAAUUUAAUAUAACUUGAUUCGAGUGAUUUACAUUCAAAAAGGAAAAAACCGAAUGGAAACAAUUGCAAAUAUCAAAAGAGUACAAUUUAUAUAAAAGAAUACAAAAAUAUUCUCUCGGCUUUAGUAGGUAUUUUAAGCAGGGUUAUUGAAAUAAGAAAUAUAAAUGAUCGUUUAAUCUCGAAGAAUCUUUACAGAGAGUCACUUUUUCUUACUUACUUAUUUGUUCGUAUAUAAUGACCACUGGUAUUAAAUUUCUGGGAUUAAAGAAACCAAUGUCAGAAAAACAUUAAUCAACCCUUUAGAAAUUCUUAAAGAAUGUUACGGUAAAUCGAAGGAAAGUCAUUUCUUUUUUCUACAUAUAUUGGUCAAAAAAUAUUUUCAUUGUGUGUCAAGAAUUGUCCACCAGAUGUUAUAUUGUCGUUAGAACGAUGUUCCCAUAACGUAUCGAGUCGUAAUGCAAAGAUAUUUGUUCACGUAAAUGUAAACGCAUAAACAUCUUAUUUGCAAACUUCUUUGAUAACGCAGUCGCGUUUUAUUGAUUCGAUAUAUUUCUAUCGUUGACUAACAAAAGUUUCCGAUUAAUUAGGAAUAUAGGAGUAUAAUUGUUGAAUAGUUUGAUUUUUAUAUCGUAAAACAUUUCAACAACAUAACUCUUAAAUCUUAUUUUACCGUGAUCGUGAUCGAUCAGAGGGAAACGUAUUUAUAGUAUAUUGAACGUUUGAUUAAACGAAAAUUUAUUCGAGACUCUAACCUUGCUAUUAAUACUAUCAUUACUAUGAACUUUUCUAACGUUAGAUCAAUGAAUAUUUUUCGAAAUUGACUGGAUAAAAAAAAGCACCAAAAUUGCUAAAUUCGAUUGGAAGUGUUAGAAAGUGUUAGAAAGAAGAUACAAUUAAAUUUAUCCAACUUUUUCUUUCAUAUAUCUAUUUUUCUUUAUCGAGAAUCCAAAUUAGAUGAGGUUUAUGAUUACAUCGGUAUAUAGAUAUUUGCAUAUCGAUCAGCAAUUUAUUGAUAUGCUCUUAUUAUUCAGUACGGUUUAACGUCCGAUAGAAAAAUUGUCCGUGAGUAUUUGCUAUUUUAUAUUAUUUGCCAUGGAUAAUUGUUUUAUUUCCGAUUGAAACGGAUAAAUUAAUGUCGCGAGGAAAUAAACUGGGUAAUCAAUUGAUAACUUCAAAUUGAUCAAGCUUUUGAUUAAUAACGUUAACAAUUCAUUGAUAUUUUUGAUGAUAUUCAUAAGAAAAUAUAAUAGAUAAUGUAUAAUCAAAAACACGGUAUACUAUGAUCUGAUCAUUUUGUUAGAUGAGUCUAUUACUAUAAUUUGUUAAUGACAAAUUUUUGUCUCUGACAAAAUAAAUUGUGUGAAAUAAAGAAGAAGAAAUAUUCAAAAAUUCGAUUUAUUUCGACAAUCAGUAAUCUUUCAAUUAAUCGUGACUCUUUAUAUCAUCGUCGUUUAUUUUUUACUUUCUUGUAUCAUAAAUAGUAUAUCGUAUUAAAUUUCAUUUCAUUGAAGAUAUUAAAUUUGGGUUAAUUUAACAUAAUAAUUAAUAGUUGCCAUUAAUAUAAUUUCUAUUAAUACUAGCACUGUAUUCUUAUUUCAUUCAAUAAUCGAUAAAAUAAAAUGCGGAAUAGAAAUUAACUUGAUAUAAUGAAUUUUAUUGUUUUAUAUAAAUAAUAAAUAUAUACUGGGAUAGUAUAUAUGUAUAUCUUUAUAUAUUUAUGGAUAUAUGAAUAUCAUCUGGAUUUCGAAAAAUCGUUAAUUUAAAGUACACUUAUAUUGAGUCUAAGUUUUGAGCCAAAAUCAAAGUGGUUUCCGAAACACACGUUUUUUUAUUUUUAGUAAAGAAAACGAAGCAUAAACUUACGAUCGAUCGUGAUUCGUAUUGUAAAAAAUAAAAAAAAGAUCAAUUAGUCGGAAAUAAAUAAGGAUUGUGCGUCAACAUUAAAAAUAAAAGAUAAGAAUAAGUAAUUAAUUGCUUGCAUAUAAACAAAAAUUCUGUCAAUAAGAAAACGUCCAAUUGAUUCGAUAAAAGUAAUCGAUCGCCAUCAAAGUUUAACUGAAGGUUCAGUCAUUUUCAUUAUUUCUACGCUAUAUUAUGCUAUAAAAAAUUACAAAUAUUUCAUUUUUCUUCUUCGAAACAAUAAAACAUCUACUUCUAAAAAUAUAUAUAUUUCUAUAUAAUAUUUACAUGUUCUUUUCAUAAUAAAUUCCUUUCAGAAAAAUAUAAUUCUAAAAUAUAAUCUCGUUCUUUAUUUAUAUUAUACUAUAUUUUGUAUAUAUGUAUAUUAUAUCAUUUUUAUAUAAAAAAAAUGUACAAGUACGAAAUCAGAAAGAAUGAUUCUCAGAUAAACAUUUUUUAUCACCAAGGAACUUUACUUUUUUUUUCAUAUAAUUUAUUACAUAUACUUAGAAAUUAAUAUACUAUAGCUCUAGAAAAUUAGAAUUCUGAUUAAUAGAAGUUAUGUUCAAACAGAAAAAGCUCAAGAGUUAAACUCUGCUGUUGCUAUUAGUAAUUAUUAUAGUUGUUAUGUUUUCUUUUUCUAUUAAUACAUUAAAUAUGAAAUAUUGAGAAAAUUUCGUUAGACCACGCCUAUCAUAAGAAGAAUAAAAACGUCAUUUGCAUAUCGAGAUGCAACAAAGAACAACGCUAAAUGUGACUAUAGUUUGAAAAAGUACUAUAAUUAGUUCUUUCGGGAUAUAAUAUAGGUAAAUGUGAUAUAUAUAUAGUUCAGAUCAUAUAGUGUUUUAUCUCAGAAAAUUUAAGAAAAAGAGUAAAAUAGCCGCGAAAACUUGAAAUAUAAUUUAUAAUUAAGAAUUAUAGCUGCUAAUGUUUUUUUCAAUGAUUUAUAUAUUUUCAAUAGAAAAAACCAUGAAAAUUAAACAGUUGAAAAAGAAAUUAUUAGAAUAGUCUCAUCAUUAUUUAUGAUAUCAUUAGCAUAAUAUUGUACUAAUAUAUUAAAUAUAUUAAAAAUAUAUAAUGCAGGGAGGGACGGGGUUAGUACAAAAUAUUAAAAGCAUAUGUACAUUAUGUCAUAUAAAUAAAAGCAUGCUCUCAAAGUCGGUCAAAAGAACGAAAAAAUAAAUAAAAGUAGCAAUAAUUUAUUGUGCAACAGAUACAAAAAUGUUAUAUUUUUUACAACUUUACAUUCUUUUUUAUUUUAAAAUAUAAUGAUAAUAAAUCAUAAUACUGUCUAUAUAAAUAGUGAUUCUAUCAAUUCCUAUUAACUAUUAUUUUAAAUAGAUAUAUUAAUCAUCCAUAACCAAGCAUAACUCGCCAGUUACAUAUAUUCACACGAAUUCUUUAACAUAGCAUUUAAAAGCAUGUAAAGAUUUUUUAAUAUAAAUUUAAUUCUUUUCCAUUAUUACAAUUUUUUACUUUCGCAUAAAUAUGAUAAAAGGGAAAAUAAUGGAAAAUAAACGUGACAAAGUGGAAGAGAAAAAGUUUUUUAACAAAAACGAUUUGUUCGAAGCUUCGAUUUAUAUAAAAAGAAAAAUCGAAAUUGUUGGUGCAUUAAUAUUCACAUUUAUCACAAAUACACGAAUCUUCGAUGCUAUCUACUGUAUGUAGAUUGCCAAACAUUAUAUUACAAUGUGACUAGAAUAAUGUCUUUUAAUUUAAGUCACAUCUAAUAUUGCAAGUGAAUCUCAAAAUAGAUAAUGAUAUUCAAAAUUACCUUUAAAAUAAUAUUUCGAAGGAUCUUCUGUAUAUUUGAGGAUCUUCUGAUUUAUUUUCCAAUUAAUGAUCUUCCAAAUAAUUUUCCAAGGGGUAAAGAUUGUUCUUUCGAAUUUUGACGAUGUUAUGAUGUUGUUUCUUCAUCGGUUUUAUUUUCCUUAGUACUCUAUUGAAGAUCAAGAUUAUACAUUUUCUAUUUUCAUUUUAACAACAUUUGUUCUUGUUGAGGCAGCCCUUUUUGAUCACUUAUGAUAUCGUUGCUACACGAAAAUGAUACCCUGGGAUACUAAUGUUUUUAGGAUUUGUUAAAUUUAUGGUAACUGAUCUGGUAACGCAAAAUCGGUAUAAUUUCUGCAAUAUAUAAUGACCAUGGAUCGAUCUGUAACAUUAAAAUCGUCAAUCAUCCUGUCCAUUGAUAUUCUAACAUAUUAUAUCAGUGAGAUAUAAUACAUAGUCAAAAUAAAUAAAAUAGCAGGAAGAUCCUAAAGUAGAAUACUUCGAAGGAAAUUAUCGUUUUUUACACGUGUUAUUUGGUUCCAAAUAUCACAUUUUAAUAAUUCCUUUCUGCUAAUUCUCCACUACUAAUCUCUUUCUUAGUCCAUUAUCGAUAUCAUAUUUAUCGACAAUUGGUAGCCGAUUAUGUAAACCAUGGACAUUCAAUAUCAUCCCGGUAAACGAGUACUUAUUA